Molecule: ribosomal RNA, 253 nt
Filed under: uncultured bacterium
Lineage: Bacteria
Description: partial 16S ribosomal RNA
Rfam family: Bacterial small subunit ribosomal RNA
Source: RNAcentral
UACGUAGGGUGCAAGCGUUAAUCGGAAUUACUGGGCGUAAAGCGUGCGCAGGCGGUGAUGUAAGACAGUUGUGAAAUCCCCGGGCUCAACCUGGGAACUGCAUCUGUGACUGCAUCGCUGGAGUGCGGCAGAGGGGGAUGGAAUUCCGCGUGUAGCAGUGAAAUGCGUAGAUAUGCGGAGGAACACCGAUGGCGAAGGCAAUCCCCUGGGCCUGCACUGACGCUCAUGCACGAAAGCGUGGGGAGCAAGCAGG